RNAcentral lists this long non-coding RNA (619 nucleotides) under Felis catus (domestic cat). Its description in RNAcentral is "lncRNA (ENSFCAG00000041432.2)". Lineage: Eukaryota; Metazoa; Chordata; Mammalia; Carnivora; Felidae. The record is from RNAcentral.
AUGCCUGGCAGCGACUUCUCGCUUCGCCCUCAGCCUCCCCCAUCGACCCUCUCUGGCCGACCUUUACGCCCAACUCGGGCGCGCUGCGAGCCUCGCGUCCUAGCCGUCCACGCGGGGCCCCACCCCUUCCCGGUUCCUGCCCGCGAUCGGGUCGGAGGCGAGGUGAAUGGGAAGAUGGAGAUGGAUGUUGAGGGAGUUUCUCCGCGCCCGGAGCCCAUCCCCCGCUCCCAGGGGGCUGGCGGAGCCUGCCAGGCGCCGCCACAGCCGCCCCAGCCCCAGCCCCAGCCCCCGCCGCAGCCGCCGCAGCAACAGCAGCAGCAGCAGCAGCAGCAGCAGCAGCAGCAGCAGCAGCUGGCUCAGGAUGAAGUGCCCGGCGAGAGUGCUGGCGUGGAGGACAGCGACGAUCCCGAGGCGAGACCCAACAGCGAGAAAGGAGAGAGCAAGGACCUCAAACCUGAGAGACGUCAGCGUUUCCUCGAAUACUGGUUACACUGCACUGCUGUCUCAGGUGCCAGAACUUUCAACCUUAUUUCAAGGCCCACUUCAGUCUGCCAGGUUCAUGGUGGCAUCCUGUUCCUUUGAACUCAUACUACUUCCUGAUCAAACAACUCUUAUGUAA